UUUGAUUCAAUGUAACCACGAGUCAUGUAAACGCCAGCUUUGCAUAUAGCUCCAAGGAUGACAUCCAUGUGAGUUGACGCUUGAUGUCACGCCCCCGCCCCGAGGGCGCUACCAAUUUGGCACGGUUCGGGCGCGGCGAACGGACGCCGAACGGACAGCACCUCCCCUGUCCGCCCAAGGCUCAACAACGAUAUCAUGUACAAGAAUUUGCCCAGGAGAAAUUCAUUCAACAUACAUGAUACAACGAAGCACCACUAGUGCUGUACAACUAAGAGCAAGAAUCACAAGUAACAUACAAGUGAAACAAAGAGAGAUACAUUUAGCUAUUACAUCACAUUUAACUUUUACAUUUUGAUUUACAUUUUCAACUUCCAAAAUGAAUACAUAUCCUUCUCAUAAUACAAAAUGGCUCUCCAACAUAAGUAAUUCCCAAAUACAUUUACAUCACAUUUCUAUGUACACGAGGGUACUCUAAUGCAAAAUAGGAAAGCUACUAGCUACUAGGGCGCUAUGCCCUUACCACGGUCCUCUGCCGGUAUGCGCUCGCUAGGCCCUGCAACAAAGUGGGGUGAGAACUAUAUAAAUAUAGUUCCCAGUGGGUUCGGCCGCCGACUCCGCCGAUCUUCCCACUAGGUCUAAGCAGGCAUAAGCAGAUAGAUAGAUAGAUAGAUAUGAAAUUGAAGUGCAACAUAGUAAAGUAAUCUGCAACAAUCUGCUAUGCCUUCAAUAAUCAAGGAUAUGAGCUACAACAUAGUAUAUGAUCUAUGCCUCAACAAUAAUGGAAAUGAGCUACUACAUAGUAAUGUAUCUACAACAUAGGACUAUGUCUCAACAAUAAUGGAAAUGAGCUACUACAUAGUAAUGUAUCUACAACAUACGACUAUGUCUCAACAAUAAUGGAAAUGAGCUACUACAUAGUAAUGUAAACUACACAUGAUACUAUGUCUAAAUAAUCCAAAUGAACGAGCUACACAGUGCGUCGUGCAACUAUGCCUCGGUAGUAUCCAAUCUCAUGGCCAACCCGAAGGUUGCCACCCCGGGGUCAACCCCGACUCACUCUCAAUCUCAUAGGUGAGGAGAAGCUGCGCUCGCACACCGAGACCGUCUGCGGGACAACCCUAUGUGAAAUACUCCGGAGACCACUGCUUCGGUGGAGCGACCACCGACAAGCGAAAACAGACUAGUGAGUAUGAUCCAAUCCUCACAAGAGGAUACCCUAUCUACCAGGGUCAAUGUGCCUCUACUGCACAAUACCAAAUGCACAAUCAAUGCCUCAAAUGCACUAAUGCCAAAUGCAUAAAGUCUAUAACAUGACAAUUGGGAAAAUCUACUAUCCCUAGGUUCAAAUGCCAUAGUGUUCUACUACACUAGAUUUGAUGCCACUCAUUUAUGUCAUGAUGUUAUAUGCGUCUCAAUACACUAAAUUGACAUGCCACUCGUUUUUGUUAUAGUGUCUCUAUUACACUAAUCCAAAUGCCACUCAUCUAGGCCAAUUAUAUGUCCAAGUUCAUCAUCAUUCUUGUCACUAUAGGAUUCUUGUCACUAGACCCAAUCCUCAUGUCACCUAAGAUUAAGUGUCAAGCCCACGAUGCUACACAACAUAGGAAACAUGCAAGGAAUGGAAACAUAAUCAUCUACUAAUCCUAUAAUGCACAAUGUACAAAUAUAUAAGAAUAUGGUCAAAAUAUAACUUAGACAUAAAAGGAAGCCCGGAUGUUUCGGGACGACACCCCCCACCUUUUAUCGCGUUCCGAUUGCUUGUCGACACUUGCAAUCGGCCUCCCGCGGCACCCGUGAUCCGGUUCGGGUCAAACUCUUGCGCAACCCCCCGAACGGCCACCAAUCCGCGAUCUGUCUAUUCUGCAGUUUAUUCCCCGAUACCACGAUGCUUCGAUUCCAUUUUCAUGAUUUUUGGAAGCUUACUCCACGAG
RNAcentral lists this long non-coding RNA (1931 nucleotides) under Ananas comosus (pineapple). Its description in RNAcentral is "long non-coding RNA (ACOM_LNC037642)". The record is from RNAcentral. Lineage: Eukaryota; Viridiplantae; Streptophyta; Magnoliopsida; Poales; Bromeliaceae.